This 253-nucleotide ribosomal RNA is filed under the name uncultured bacterium. RNAcentral's name for it is "partial 16S ribosomal RNA". It matches the Rfam family "Bacterial small subunit ribosomal RNA", at positions 524 to 776 of the family's 1533-position model. The record is from RNAcentral.
UACAGAGGGUGCUAACGUUGUUCGGAAUCACUGGGCAUAAAGCGCACGUAGGCGGCUUGGUAAGUGCGGUGUGAAAGCCCCCGGCCUAACCGGGGAACUGCAUCGCAGACUGCCAGGCUCGAGAGCGGGAGGGGAGACUGGAAUUCCUGGUGUAGCGGUGAAAUGCGCAGAUAUCAGGAGGAACACCGGUGGCGAAGGCGGAUCUCUGGGCCUUACCUGACGCUGAGGCGCGAAAGCUAGGGGAGCAAACAGG